This 330-nucleotide unclassified non-coding RNA is filed under the name uncultured Tremellaceae. RNAcentral's name for it is "sequence contains ITS1". The stretch from base 1 to 105 matches the Rfam family "5.8S ribosomal RNA", at positions 50 to 154 of the family's 154-position model. Lineage: Eukaryota; Fungi; Basidiomycota; Tremellomycetes; Tremellales; Tremellaceae. The record is from RNAcentral.
GAAAUGCGAUAAGUAAUGUGAAUUGCAGAAUUCAGUAGCCCGCAUCGAUGAAGAACGCAGCUUGCGCCUUUUGGUAUUCCGAAAGGCAUGCCUGUUUGAGUGUCAUGAAAUCUCAAUCCCCCCGGGUUUUCUGAACCCGAGGUGGACUUGGACAUGGGUGUCUGCCGUCUCGUACGGCUCGCCUUAAAUGACUCAGUGGGAUCUUCAGCAUCCGUGGCAGACGUAAUAAGUUUCGUCUCGUCCCUUGCUGUGAGGACCGCUCAUAACCUGCCAUCGCGCACCACUUUUGACUCUGACCUCAAAUCAGGUAGGACUACCCGCUGAACUUAA